RNAcentral lists this ribosomal RNA (250 nucleotides) under uncultured prokaryote. Its description in RNAcentral is "partial 16S ribosomal RNA". It matches the Rfam family "Bacterial small subunit ribosomal RNA", at positions 524 to 773 of the family's 1533-position model. The record is from RNAcentral.
UACGGAGGAUGCGAGCGUUAUCCGGAUUUAUUGGGUUUAAAGGGUGCGUAGGCGGGCGAUUAAGUUGGAGGUGAAAAACCUGGGCUCAACCGAGGUUCUGCCUCCAAUACUGGUUGUCUUGAAUGCGGAUGCCGUGGGAGGAAUGGGCAGUGUAGCGGUGAAAUGCAUAGAUAUUGCCCAGAACACCGAUUGCGAAGGCAUCUCACGAAUCCGCUAUUGACGCUGAGGCACGAAAGCGUGGGGAUCGAAC